Trichonephila clavipes is the source of this 73-nucleotide non-coding RNA. The record is from the annotation of a GenBank genome assembly. NCBI's taxonomy places the organism in Eukaryota, Metazoa, Arthropoda, Arachnida, Araneae, Nephilidae.
GUCUCUGUAACGCAAUGGAUAACGUGUUGAACUUCUAAUCCGAGGGUCGUGGGUUCGAAUUCCACCUGGGGUG